ACKGCUCAGUAACACGUGGCUAACCUACCCUCGAGACGGGGACAACCCCGGGAAACUGGGGCUAAUCCCAGAUAGAUGAGAACUCCUGGAAUGGGUUCUCGUCCAAAAGGCACCAAGAUCAUGCUUCUUGGCGUCGCUUAAGGAUGGGGCCGCGACCGAUCAGGCUGUUGGUGAGGCAACGGCUCACCAAACCUUUAACCGGUACGGGCCGUGGGAGCGGGUGCCCGGAGAUGGGAACUGAGACAAGGUCCCAGGCCCUACGGGGCGCAGCAGUUACGAAAACUUGUCAAUGCACGAAAGUGUGAACGGGCUACCCCGAGUGCCGUCCGCUGAGGAUGGCUUUUCUCUGCUGUAAGGAAGCGGAGGAAUAAGGAGAGGGCAAGUCUGGUGUCAGCCGCCGCGGUAAUACCAGCUCUCCGAGUGGUAGGGAUGAUUAUUGGGCUUAAAGCGUCCGUAGCUGGCCUCUCAAGCCUCUCGUUAAAUCCAGCGAUUCAAUCGUUGGACUGCGGGAGAUACUGUGAGGCUAGGGGGCGGGAGAAGCCGACGGUAUUUCCGGGGUAGGGGUAAAAUCCUAUAAUCCCGGGAAGACCACCAGUGGCGAAGGCGGUCGGCUAGCACGCGCUCGACGGUGAGGGACGAAAGCUGGGGGAGCGAACCGGAUUAGAUACCCGGGUAGUCCCAGCUGUAAACGAUGCUGGCUAGGUGUUGAAGCGGCUACGAGCCGCUUCAGUGCCGCAGGGAAGCCAUUAUAGCCAUGCCGCCUGGGGAGUACGGCCGCAAGGCUGAAACUUAAAGGAAUUGGCGGGGGAGCAC
RNAcentral lists this ribosomal RNA (813 nucleotides) under uncultured Sulfolobales archaeon. RNAcentral's name for it is "bacterial SSU rRNA". It matches the Rfam family "Archaeal small subunit ribosomal RNA", at positions 85 to 879 of the family's 1478-position model. Lineage: Archaea; Thermoproteati; Thermoproteota; Thermoprotei; Sulfolobales. The record is from RNAcentral.